This 253-nucleotide ribosomal RNA is filed under the name uncultured bacterium. RNAcentral describes it as "partial 16S ribosomal RNA". It matches the Rfam family "Bacterial small subunit ribosomal RNA", at positions 524 to 776 of the family's 1533-position model. The record is from RNAcentral.
GACGUGGGGGGCCAGCGUUGCUCGGAAUAACUGGGCGUAAAGGGUCUGUAGGCGGUGCGGCAAGUCGGGAGUGAAAUCUCAGGGCUUAACCCUGAGGCUGCUUCCGAAACUGCCGUGCUCGAGUGCGAGAGAGGUGAGUGGAAUUGCAGGUGUAGCGGUGAAAUGCGUAGAUAUCUGCAGGAACACCAGAGGCGAAGGCGGCUCACUGGAUCGCAACUGACGCUGAGAGACGAAAGCUAGGGGAGCAAACAGG